UACGGAGGGAGCUAGCGUUGUUCGGAAUUACUGGGCGUAAAGCGCACGUAGGCGGCUAUUCAAGUCAGAGGUGAAAGCCCGGGGCUCAACCCCGGAACUGCCUUUGAAACUAGGUAGCUAGAAUCUUGGAGAGGUCAGUGGAAUUCCGAGUGUAGAGGUGAAAUUCGUAGAUAUUCGGAAGAACACCAGUGGCGAAGGCGAGUCUCUGGACAGUUACUGACACUGAGGCACGAAGGCCAGGGGAGCAAACGGG
Molecule: ribosomal RNA, 253 nt
Filed under: uncultured bacterium
Lineage: Bacteria
Description: partial 16S ribosomal RNA
Rfam family: Bacterial small subunit ribosomal RNA
Source: RNAcentral